UAAAUUUACUUUAUGACGAUU
Molecule: non-coding RNA, 21 nt
Organism: Caenorhabditis elegans
Lineage: Eukaryota; Metazoa; Nematoda; Chromadorea; Rhabditida; Rhabditidae
Source: Ensembl